UACGUAGGGGGCAAGCGUUAUCCGGAUUUACUGGGUGUAAAGGGAGCGCAGACGGCAGUGCAAGUCUGGAGUGAAAGCCCGGGGCCCAACCCCGGAACUGCUCUGGAAACUGUGCGGCUAGAGUACUGGAGGGGCAGGCGGAAUUCCUAGUGUGGCGGUGAAAUGCGUAGAUAUUAGGAGGAACACCAGUGGCGAAGGCGGCCUGCUGGACAGUAACUGACGUUGAGGCUCGAAAGCGUGGGGAGCAAACAGG
Molecule: ribosomal RNA, 253 nt
Filed under: uncultured bacterium
Lineage: Bacteria
Description: partial 16S ribosomal RNA
Rfam family: Bacterial small subunit ribosomal RNA
Source: RNAcentral